UUCCUGGUGGACUAGUGGCUAGCAUGCGAUGCCCUCACUGCCAUGGCCUGGGUUUGAUUCCCAGUCAGGGAA
Molecule: non-coding RNA, 72 nt
Organism: Ameiurus melas (black bullhead)
Lineage: Eukaryota; Metazoa; Chordata; Actinopteri; Siluriformes; Ictaluridae
Source: the annotation of a GenBank genome assembly